RNAcentral lists this ribosomal RNA (387 nucleotides) under uncultured bacterium. RNAcentral describes it as "bacterial SSU rRNA". It matches the Rfam family "Bacterial small subunit ribosomal RNA", at positions 28 to 416 of the family's 1533-position model. The record is from RNAcentral.
GACGAACGCUGGCGGCGUGCUUAACACAUGCAAGUCGAGCGGUAAGGCCCUUUUGGGGGUACACGAGCGGCGAACGGGUGAGUAACACGUGGGUGACCUGCCCUCAGCUCUGGGAUAAGCCUGGGAAACUGGGUCUAAUACUGGAUAUGACCUUUCCUCGCAUGGGGGUUGGGUGGAAAGUUUUUUCGGCUGGGGAUGGGCCCGCGGCCUAUCAGCUUGUUGGUGGGGUGAUGGCCUACCAAGGCGACGACGGGUAGCCGGCCUGAGAGGGCGACCGGCCACACUGGGACUGAGACACGGCCCAGACUCCUACGGGAGGCAGCAGUGGGGAAUAUUGCGCAAUGGGCGGAAGCCUGACGCAGCGACGCCGCGUGGGGGAUGACGGCC